UAGGACUGACCCAACACGAGAAGUAGUUCUCUCUUUACACAACAUGUACGCUUUAUCCUUAGAUCUGAGAUUGUCGCAUGUACUUAAGAUGUGGAUCGACUUACUUAGGGGCUAUCAAACGCUACACCGUAACAGGGUAGUUAAAAAGGUAGCUUUCAGGUUUGUCAGGAAGCAUGCUGUGACGCAUGGUCAAUCAAGAUGGGAUUUGCCCCUCUCUGAUUUAGAGUGAUA
RNAcentral lists this long non-coding RNA (231 nucleotides) under Setaria italica (foxtail millet). RNAcentral describes it as "long non-coding RNA (SITA_LNC000369)". The record is from RNAcentral. Lineage: Eukaryota; Viridiplantae; Streptophyta; Magnoliopsida; Poales; Poaceae.